GAAAUGCGAUAAGUAAUGUGAAUUGCAGAAUUCAGUGAAUCAUCGAAUCUUUGAACGCACCUUGCGCUCCUUGGUAUUCCUUGGAGCAUGCCUGUUUGAGUAUCAUGAAAUCUUCAAAGUAAAUCUUUUGUUAACUCAAUUGGUUUCUACUUUGGUAUUGGAGGUCUUUGCAGCUUCACACCUGCUCCUCUUUGUUCAUUAGCUGGAUCUCAGUGUUAUGCUUGGUUCCACUCGGCGUGAUAAGUUAUCUAUCGCUGAGGACACUGUAAAAGGUGGCCAAGGUAAAUGCAGAUGAACCGCUUCUAAUAGUCCAUUGACUUGGACAAUACUUUUAUGAUCUGAUCUCAAAUCAGGUAGAACUACGCGCUGAACUUAAGC
This 378-nucleotide unclassified non-coding RNA is filed under the name plant metagenome. RNAcentral's name for it is "partial contains 5.8S ribosomal RNA, internal transcribed spacer 2, and large subunit ribosomal RNA". The stretch from base 1 to 105 matches the Rfam family "5.8S ribosomal RNA", at positions 50 to 154 of the family's 154-position model. The record is from RNAcentral.